AGUUGGGCUGCACAGUGGCGUAGUGGUUAGCACUUUCGCCUUGCAGCGAGAAGGUCCCUGGUUCGCGUCCCGGCUUUCCCGGGAUCUUUCUGCAUGGAGUUUGCAUGUUCUCCCUGUGCAUGCGUGGGUUUUCUCCGGGUACUCCGGCUUCCUCCCACAGUCCAAAAAUAUGCUGAGGUUAAUUGAUCAUUCUAAAUUGCCCGUAGGUGUGAAUGUGUGAGUGCUUGUUUGUCUGUAUAUGUAGCCCUGCGACAGACUGGCGACCUGUCUAGGGUGUCCCCUGCCUUCGCCCGAGUCAGCUGGGAUAGACUCCAGCCCCCCCUCCGUGACCCUAGUGAGGAUUAAGCGGUGCAGAGAUAAUGGAUGGAUGGAUAAUGGAAUUCUGGAGUUUGCCCUUCAGUCAGAUUGUGUAUGUACACAGACAUGAAAGUUGAUUUAUGUGUUACUGAAUUAUUUUAUUCCUCUUUCAGCAAAGAUCAAAUAUAUCAAUAAAGCUGCACAUUCAUUGUAGGAAUAGCAGGUUUGUCUGACUACUCUGUGGUUGUAAGGGCUUGGUGUUACCUGGAAGUGACAUCAGCUCAUGCCUUGUGAUGUAUCAUGAAUCUGAAAUUGUAGGCCUCUUUACACAGUUUUAUGCUUCAGCUGUCGUCUUUUUAUACACUGCGGAGGAUGAGGUCUCACUUUAUCUUUGCUCUUGUUUUCCAGAUGGUGGCUCAGACCUCUCAUCAGAAUUGGAUGUUGUUGCAGUAGAUCAGAGUCCAGGAACAAGACAGAAAUGCUCACAGAAGAAGAAGAAGAAGAGAGGGAAACAGAAUAAGACUGUGGAAGAGGGUGUGCUGAAGAAACCUGUUUUAAAGGUGAAGAGACCAUGGAGUGACGCUGAAAGGAGUGCGACGAGUUCCAGGGAAAGAGCCCUGUCUACAAUGUCUUAAAAAGGAGAGCGCCUUGGAUGGAAGAUCCUGGAAGGACAUAAAGAACUUUGUGUACAACACAAUAGUCGCUUUGAACUGCAGGUCUGCUAGGAAGCAACUUGCACUUUGAAGAUCUUCAAUGUACAGUACAAUACAUGUUCUAGUUAUCAAUUUAAUAAUUAGCACUUUCAUGCUUGUUGAUGCUGUUUGGAUUGUUCUGCAUUGUUGUAGUUCAUGGCGCUAAGGUGCUUGAAUGUGCAAUUAACAUUUAUUUACAGUCAGGCAAUUUCAAAAUGUUCACACAUAUUAUACAACAAAUGCUUAAUGAAGAAAGCAUUUCCAAGGCGAUAUCUUUGGAUUUAUUUUGUCAAAGUUUAAUGGCAUGGGAUGAAUUAAAGCAGCAGCUGAGUUUGAACUGGCUGAAAUAAAUAAAUACGGUGCUGGUCACUGGAAUUGGCACAAGUA
Amphiprion ocellaris (clown anemonefish) is the source of this 1376-nucleotide long non-coding RNA. RefSeq lists it as uncharacterized. Lineage: Eukaryota; Metazoa; Chordata; Actinopteri; Pomacentridae. The record is from RefSeq and is a predicted model, not a curated record. The transcript is spliced from 3 exons.